AACUCCAUGGAGCAACUCUUCCAGGUAAAUUGACUCUCUCUCACUCAAAUACUGUACAUUAAUUGAUUCUGUUUGUAGUUUUUCCAUUUUUAAUUCUGGGAGCAACAUAUAUAUCAAUGGAACCAAAAGACAAAUGAUCACGUAUAUUAAUUUAGUUUGUGUAUAGAAUAACUGAAUGUAUGGUAAUGGGUGUGAAUAUUGCAUUGCUUUUCUGCGUAUGAAGAUUUGAGGGUUUUUGGUACAAGAGGCAUUAGUUUCUUUCUCCCAUGCAUGGCUGACUUUAACUAGCCUAGGAAAUCUAUAUAUCACGUCCUCCUUUCCCAUUUCUUUUCUUAAAAACUAA
Molecule: unclassified non-coding RNA, 343 nt
Filed under: Hevea brasiliensis (rubber tree)
Lineage: Eukaryota; Viridiplantae; Streptophyta; Magnoliopsida; Malpighiales; Euphorbiaceae
Source: RNAcentral